Long non-coding RNA from Leucoraja erinaceus (little skate), 1225 nucleotides. RefSeq lists it as uncharacterized. The transcript has 3 exons. Lineage: Eukaryota; Metazoa; Chordata; Chondrichthyes; Rajiformes; Rajidae. The record is from RefSeq and is a predicted model, not a curated record.
CCUCUGUCUCUUUCCCCCUCUCUUCCUAAAACAAAAUUUCUCUUUCCAAACCUCUGCCUGAAGGACUGAAAGUACACGGAGAGGAUUCGCAAUUUGUUCCUGAGACUACCGGGUAAGAAAUACAGGAUUACUGCGGAAAAUAUUGACUGACGAAUGCCUUUGGCUAUUCUGCAGGGAGCUGGAAAAGUGCCGUUAAAUAGACUCUUUUCUUGUGAUCAGCUGUUGUAUUUCAAGAAGGUGGCAUCCAUCAGCAAGGAUCCCCACCAUCUGGGCAUACUCUCUUCUUGCUGCGACCAUUAGAGAGGAGGUACAGAAGCUUCAAACCCCACACCAUCAAGUUAAGGAAGACCUCGUUUUCUAAAUCCAUCAGAUUAUUACACUCACCUACAGAACCCCAAUCCUACUUCGAUGAUGGAACACCACGGAUCACUUCUUGCACUACCAUGGACUUAUUUUCUUAUUGUGUUUUCACACGAAUGUCUUGUUUUGUACAGUCUUUGUGUGUCGUCUGAGUCCGUGUGCCUGUGGUGCUGCUACAAGCAACAUUUUCAUUGCAACUCUACCUCAAUAUACUUUUGCAUGUGGCAAUAAACUAGAUUUGAUUUGAAUUGGCCUGUGCAGGCUCUGUCACAGGACAAUGCAGUGGACUAGUGCAGUGAUCUUAAGGUUAUGAGGAAUAGGAGUAGAAUUAAGCCAUUCGGCCCAUCAAGUCUACUCUACCAUUCAAUCAUGGCUGAUCUAACUCUCCCUCCUAACCCCAUCCUUCUGCCUUCUCCCUUUAACCCCUGACACCCGUACUAAUCAAGGAUCUCUCAACCUGCUCAUAAAAAAUAGUCAUUGGCUUGACCUCCACAGCCGUCUGUGGCAAUGAAUUCCACAGAUUCACCACCCUCUGAAUAAAGAAAUUCCUCCUCAUCUCCUUUCUAAUAGUACGUCCUUUUAAUCUGAGGCUAUGGCCCCUGGUCCUAGACUCUCCCGCUAGUGGAAAUAUCCUCUCCACAUUAACUCUAUCCAGGACUUUCACUGAGUGAUGCUGAGUAAGAGAUCAGCAAGGAUCUUAAUGAAAAAUAGAUGAGGCUGAUUCUAUUUCUCAAGUUCUCAUGUCGUGGCAACAAUCACCAUUCGUUAGUUUCAGCAGGCUUGUGAGAUUACUGAAAUUACUGCACUUAACAAGUGUGAACGGUGCAAAUAUCUCGAUUAGCCUCAGAUGCACCCGUCUCUGCAC